Molecule: ribosomal RNA, 910 nt
Filed under: uncultured bacterium
Lineage: Bacteria
Description: bacterial SSU rRNA
Rfam family: Bacterial small subunit ribosomal RNA
Source: RNAcentral
ACGCUGGCGGCGUGCUUAACACGUGCAAGUCGAACGAUGAGGCCUAGCUUGCUAGGUGGAUUAGUGGCGAACGGGUGAGUAAUACGUGAGUAACCUACCUUUAACUCUGGGAUAAGCCUGGGAAACUGGGUCUAAUACCGGAUACGACCAAUCUCCGCAUGGGGUGUUGGUGGAAAGCGUUAUGUAGUGGUUAUAGAUGGGCUCACGGCCUAUCAGCUUGUUGGUGAGGUAACGGCUCACCAAGGCGACGACGGGUAGCCGGCCUGAGAGGGUGACCGGCCACACUGGGACUGAGACACGGCCCAGACUCCUACGGGGGGCAGCAGUGGGGAAUAUUGCACAAUGGGCGCAAGCCUGAUGCAGCGACGCCGCGUGAGGGAUGACGGCCUUCGGGUUGUAAACCUCUGUUAGCAGGGAAGAGGAGAGAUUGACGGUACCUGCAGAGAAAGCGCCGGCUAACUACGUGCCAGCAGCCGCGGUAAUACGUAGGGCGCGAGCGUUGUCCGGAAUUAUUGGGCGUAAAGAGCUUGUAGGCGGUUUGUCGCGUCUGCUGUGAAAGGCCGGGGCUUAACUCCGUGUAUGGCAGUGGGUACGGGCAGACUAGAGUGCAGUAGGGGAGACCGGAAUUCCUGGUGUAGCGGUGGAAUGCGCAGAUAUCAGGAGGAACACCGAUGGCGAAGGCAGGUCUCUGGGCUGUAACUGACGCUGAGAAGCGAAAGCAUGGGGAGCGAACGGGAUUAGAUACCCUGGUAGUCCAUGCCGUAAACGUUGGGCACUAGGUGUGGGGGACAUUCCACGUUUUCCGCGCCGUAGCUAACGCAUUAAGUGCCCCGCCUGGGGAGUACGGCCGCAAGGCUAAAACUCAAAGAAAUUGACGGGGGCCCGCACAAGCGGCGGAGCAUGCGGAUUA